CUAAGCGUACACGGUGGAUGCCCUGGCAGUCAGAGGCGAUGAAGGACGUGCUAAUCUGCGAUAAGCGUCGGUAAGGUGAUAUGAACCGUUAUAACCGGCGAUUUCCGAAUGGGGAAACCCAGUGUGUUUCGACACACUAUCAUUAACUGAAUCCAUAGGUUAAUGAGGCGAACCGGGGGAACUGAAACAUCUAAGUACCCCGAGGAAAAGAAAUCAACCGAGAUUCCCCCAGUAGCGGCGAGCGAACGGGGAGCAGCCCAGAGCCUGAAUCAGUGUGUGUGUUAGUGGAAGCGUCUGGAAAGGCGCGCGAUACAGGGUGACAGCCCCGUACACAAAAAUGCACAUGCUGUGAGCUCGAUGAGUAGGGCGGGACACGUGGUAUCCUGUCUGAAUAUGGGGGGACCAUCCUCCAAGGCUAAAUACUCCUGACUGACCGAUAGUGAACCAGUACCGUGAGGGAAAGGCGAAAAGAACCCCGGCGAGGGGAGUGAAAAAGAACCUGAAACCGUGUACGUACAAGCAGUGGGAGCACGCUUAGGCGUGUGACUGCGUACCUUUUGUAUAAUGGGUCAGCGACUUAUAUUCUGUAGCAAGGUUAACCG
RNAcentral lists this ribosomal RNA (602 nucleotides) under Escherichia coli. Its description in RNAcentral is "bacterial LSU rRNA". It matches the Rfam family "Bacterial large subunit ribosomal RNA", at positions 12 to 652 of the family's 2925-position model. Lineage: Bacteria; Pseudomonadati; Pseudomonadota; Gammaproteobacteria; Enterobacterales; Enterobacteriaceae. The record is from RNAcentral.